This 1082-nucleotide long non-coding RNA is filed under the name Canis lupus familiaris (dog). Its description in RNAcentral is "lncRNA (ENSCAFG00000050550.1, ENSCAFG00845020093.1)". Lineage: Eukaryota; Metazoa; Chordata; Mammalia; Carnivora; Canidae. The record is from RNAcentral.
UGGAUACUCACCGAGGGCCAGAGCGGGUGCUAUGCCUUCCUCAGCCCUCUUCCUCCUCUCCGGGAACGACUCCUCGCAGGCGGGCUGCGGGCGAGCAGCCGGGCGGAGCGAACCUCCUCUCCGCAGCUCAGCGGUGCCCCUUCUGCAGCUGUGCCGCUGGGAACAUUUUAUAGCGGUGCUGGCGUGUGUGGCCCUUUAAAGGCGCUCAAGCUGGUGCAGUCACCGCGGAUCGUGUGAAAGCGAAGGGCCGGCUGGGGAACGGAGUCCGAGCGGCCCGCGGGUCCGGCAGCGCCGGAGACCAUCCGUGGUUCCCGGGGUGGAGCUGGCGGGCCCAGGCCGUGGGCACCCUGCGCCUUGAGCCCCAAGCCGACGCCUGCGCUCCUAAAGCUGUGGGGGGCCGGUGCCCGGGACCUGGUCUCUCCCCACCGCCCUGCAUGGACUUGCCCAAUAAAUUCCACUUAGCAAUUUCGCUGAGGCGAGGGAGAGCUGUUAGUGUCUAUUUUCUGACCUAAAUCUAGUGAGGUGGCCCGAGCGGGCUUCAGGGGGUUGCGGGGUGGGGGGUGGGAGUAGAGCUCUGGGCUCAGGGAAUGGCCCGGGGAAGGGGGCGCACUCGGGACGGGGCGGGUGCCGGCGGGGCAUGAUUGGAGUUUUCUGCGGGGCUUCCUUGGAGCCCGUUUGCCCCCUUUGGGCCGCACCAUCUUGUGGAAGGGCUGAGGCUGGGAGUCCCUUUCCCCUUGAAGUCCCCAGAUUCCGGGCAGAGCCUCAUGGAGGGCCGAUCCAGCAGCGGCGGUUUCCCUCGAAGGCUUGAGCAGGGGUUGGGGUCGAGGGAUUCUCUCCUGUGGUCAUCCCAGGCGGAAGGAGGCUGGCGGGAUGCGACGCGGUGAUAUGGCUUAGAGGCACGCGGAAAAGCCAAGAACUAGCAGCCGGGUCCGAAGAGCUUGCUCUGGAGUUCGAGGGGAUUCCUUCUGAAUUUCCAUGAUGCCAGGUUAUGUUAUUACGAUUAUAUACCCAUUCCCAUCUAGCAGGUAUAACAUUUUGCAUCUGGAGCAUAUAUUUCUCAGGUUGGGAUACUGUCUUACAGG